GUGAAAUUGUUGAAAGGGAAACGAUUGAAGUCAGUCGUGCUGGCGCGAAAUCAACCCUCUCGUCGAGAGGUCACAUGGCGUGGCGAGCCUCAAAACCGUCACGAAGCGUGAACUCUUGGCGAAAAGGAGCACUUUCGUGUCCGCUGGUUAACAUCAAUUUCGAACGUCAUAAAAAGGCUGGAGGGAUGUGGCUCCUUCGGGAGUGUUAUAACCUUUUAGCGGUAAUGUGGUGGUCGGGAUUGAGGAUUGCAACGAAUACCUUUAGGGCUGUUCCACCUGGCCUCUCUCUGGUAUCCUGGUGACGACAGCUUGCUGACGUCGUUAGGAUUCGCCUUUGAACAGGCUAGAGUGUGAGCAAAUUCGUUAAGGAUGUUAACGUAAUGGCUUUAAACGACCCGUCUUGAAACACGGACCAAGGAGUC
RNAcentral lists this ribosomal RNA (422 nucleotides) under uncultured fungus. Its description in RNAcentral is "eukaryotic LSU rRNA". It matches the Rfam family "Eukaryotic large subunit ribosomal RNA", at positions 399 to 675 of the family's 3401-position model. The record is from RNAcentral. Lineage: Eukaryota; Fungi.